CAAUUUUAUCAGAACUCAGCUAUUUUAAUAUCUAUAAUACCACUCAGUUUGAUUAUGGAAGUGGGUGAAAAUCCCACACUGUCCUCGCAACGGUAUUUGCAAUCGCAUCAGUCCGACACAUAGCCUAAUUUUUUUAACAUC
This 141-nucleotide non-coding RNA is filed under the name Bathymodiolus thermophilus. Lineage: Eukaryota; Metazoa; Mollusca; Bivalvia; Mytilida; Modiolidae. The record is from RNAcentral.